Molecule: long non-coding RNA, 1714 nt
Filed under: Octopus vulgaris (common octopus)
Lineage: Eukaryota; Metazoa; Mollusca; Cephalopoda; Octopoda; Octopodidae
Source: RNAcentral
UAUCUGUCAAAUGUAAAUAGUGUAAAUAAGAAAUGGAGUGUUGUAACAAACAAUGGUGAGAGUUGUGAUACAGUUUGCAUAGAGUAGAUGUGCAAAUGGUGAGUUGUCUUUCAGACUUUAUAGAUGCAUGACAAAUCUGUCUUAUCGCAAGUAGCCAGUCCCACCUACAAAUGGACUGAGAGGAAGCUGUCACUGAAUGGCUGGGAAGAGUUGCAGAAUGCAAUAUGGAUAUAUUGCAAGAGAAAGGAUUCCUUGUUGAAAGGUUUUGUCUAAAAACGAUCAAAGAGUUAAGUGAUGUACCUCUAUUUUGCAAUUAACAGGUGGGUCUUCACAUUUUCUCGAAAGGGGAUUUAGAGAAACUCUGGCCAAUGCGUGGAAGGCUGUGUCUCUUGAAGGAGCAAGGCAUAUGAAAGCAUGGCCUGUCUAAGCUUGAGAAUGAGGCAAAAAGGUUAGCAGAGAUUGUGCACCGCAAUCUUGCCCUUGGUCUGAAGGUAGAGAUUAUGGGAAAGGCAUGUAAUGGUCAUGGUCAGAGAUAUUGGUGCAAAUGUGGACCCUCGUCUGGUUGUCUCUUUUGCAGCCUUAUACUGGCAAGAAGUGAGUGCAGAUGUGACCCAUAACAACGUGAUGAAGUGGGGUCUACAUGGACGAUCCAAGUGUCCCCUAAAGACCACAAGGGUAUUCAGUAACAUAUGUCCAUUGCUGGAAUGGUGGUGUAGGACAGAAGGCCCAGUUGCUAAACAUUUAGGAGUAUGAACCAUUUGAAGGUUUUCUAUUAAAAAGGUGAAAGAUUCUGCCAGGCAGCAGCAACAACAGGAAGUAGAAGAUGAUUGGUGGUGGUGUAACUGUUUCCAUGACAACACCACUCUGGAGAUGGAUGGAGCAGAAACACAAAGCCACCUUAUCCUCAACACUAGGGAUGAGCCCCUGUGAAGUGAGGGCACUGAGAAGCUAAAGGGUCAUUCCUCCCUCCAACACACAAGUGACCAGGCUGUUCUAACAUGUUGUGGUGUGGUGAUGAGGAGGAGAUGGGCCCUGGAGAUAGAAAAAGCAUCGGGAAGAAUAGAAAGAAAGACAAAUAGGACUGUGGCAGACAGUCGCAGAGAUAUCAGUCGUUCUCUGGUUCUUUGAAUGAAGAAUGAAAGCUUUUGGGAGCUGCUAAAGAAGCUAAAAAUAAAAGGCCAGAAGAAAUAUACUGAAAGCCACCCAAACUAUUCCAAGGGUGACAAGUUCAAGAGAAACCAUCUGAAGAACUUUUUAGUGCAACAAAAUGUAUUUUGUUGGACUAAUGAUUAUGAAUUAACCAUUUUAACCAACCACACAAAUUAUCUAUGUAGAGCUAAGGGGCCACCCUUCAGAGCCUGUGGGAUUCUUCACAGGUUGACUAAAGCCAAAGAUAAGCACGUUUGAAUAUGGAGGGUGAAGGCCCAGGGUAGAGUGAGGAGAGGAAAGGAUUGCUCGAUACGGAUAAUGAUCUGAAUUGUGGGGUGCCUUGAUCUUCCUAGGUGGUGGUUUCUAUUUUUGUAGGUGGGUGCCUUUGAUGGUUUACUAGAUUUCUUUUACCCUGUCUUCCACGUUUUGUUUCAUUUUGCACCACCCCAUACGCCCCCCCCACACACAGGAUUUUGUAACCUUUCUGUAUGGCGUGUUUUGUACAUGUUUUGGCCUACAGUGUCCAAUAAAUUAAUAAUGUUAAUAAAAAUUGCUUUUUAUCUUU